AUUGAACGCUGGCGGCAGGCCUAACACAUGCAAGUCGAGCGGAUGAACGGAGCUUGCUCCUGGAUUCAGCGGCGGACGGGUGAGUAAUGCCUAGGAAUCUGCCUGGUAGUGGGGGAUAACGUCCGGAAACGGGCGCUAAUACCGCAUACGUCCUGAGGGAGAAAGUGGGGGAUCUUCGGACCUCACGCUAUCAGAUGAGCCUAGGUCGGAUUAGCUAGUUGGUGGGGUAAAGGCCUACCAAGGCGACGAUCCGUAACUGGUCUGAGAGGAUGAUCAGUCACACUGGAACUGAGACACGGUCCAGACUCCUACGGGAGGCAGCAGUGGGGAAUAUUGGACAAUGGGCGAAAGCCUGAUCCAGCCAUGCCGCGUGUGUGAAGAAGGUCUUCGGAUUGUAAAGCACUUUAAGUUGGGAGGAAGGGCAGUAAGUUAAUACCUUGCUGGGUUGACGGUACCAACAGAAUAAGCACCGGCUAACUUCGUG
Molecule: ribosomal RNA, 484 nt
Filed under: uncultured bacterium
Lineage: Bacteria
Description: partial 16S ribosomal RNA
Rfam family: Bacterial small subunit ribosomal RNA
Source: RNAcentral